AUACGUAGGUGACAAGCGUUAUCCGGAUUUACUGGGCGUAAAGGGCGUGUAGGCGGUCUUGCAAGUCAGAAGUGAAAUUCCUGAGCUCAACUCGGGCGCUGCUUCUGAAACUGCAGGACUUGAGUGCUGGAGGGGAUAGCGGAAUUCCUAGUGGAGCGGUAAAAUGCGGAGAUAUUAGGAAGAACACCGGUGGCGAAGGCGGCUAUCUGGACAGUAACUGACGCUGAGGCGCGAAAGCGUGGGGAGCAAACAGGAUUAGAUACCCUGGUAGGCCACGCCGUAAACGAUGAAUACUAGGUGUAGGGGGUAUCGACUCCCUCUGUGCCGCAGUUAACACAAUAAGUAUUCCGCCUGGGGAGUACGGCCGCAAGGUUGAAACUCAAAUGAAUUGGCGGGG
This 397-nucleotide ribosomal RNA is filed under the name uncultured bacterium. RNAcentral describes it as "partial 16S ribosomal RNA". It matches the Rfam family "Bacterial small subunit ribosomal RNA", at positions 523 to 918 of the family's 1533-position model. The record is from RNAcentral.